AAUGAACGUUGGCGGCGUGGAUUAGGCAUGCAAGUCGAGCGAGAAGUUUACUUCGGUAAAUGGACAGCGGCGAAAGGGACAGUAAUGUGUAGGUACCUACCCCCGAUCUGGGAUAGCUGCGGGAAACUGCAGGUAAUACCGGAUAAUGUCUUCGGACCAAAGGUGUGAUUCCGUCAGGGGAGGGGCCUGCAUCCUAUUAGCUUGUUGGUGAGGUAAUGGCUCACCAAGGCAACGAUGGGUAGCGGGUGUGAGAGCAUGACCCGCGUCAUUGGGACUGAGACACUGCCCAGACAUCUACGGAUGGCUGCAGUCGAGAAUCUUCGGCAAUGGGCGAAAGCCUGACCGAGCGACGCCGCGUGCGGGAUGAAGGCCCUCGGGUUGUAAACCGCUGUCGUUGGGG
Molecule: ribosomal RNA, 400 nt
Filed under: uncultured Planctomycetota bacterium
Lineage: Bacteria; Pseudomonadati; Planctomycetota
Description: bacterial SSU rRNA
Rfam family: Bacterial small subunit ribosomal RNA
Source: RNAcentral